Non-coding RNA from Myodes glareolus (Bank vole), 160 nucleotides. NCBI's taxonomy places the organism in Eukaryota, Metazoa, Chordata, Mammalia, Rodentia, Cricetidae. The record is from RefSeq and is a predicted model, not a curated record.
AUUCCUAUUUGACAGCAAAGGUAUAUGAUCACAAAUUGGUUUCCCUGAGGAAGGCUCAUCCAUAUCACUAGAGAUCUGUUGAAUCCUGGGAUUUCCCCAAAUUCAGGAAACUCAACUGCAUUAUUUGUAAUAAUGGGGACUAUGUUCAAGCUUUUCCGUU